CCACGAAGUUGGAUUCGCUAGUAAUCGCGCAUCAGCCAUGGCGCGGUGAAUACGUUCCCGGACCUUGUACACACCGCCGUCAAGCCAUGGGAGCCGGGGGCGCCUGAAGUCAGUGACCUAACCGAGAGGGAGGAGCUGCCGAAGGCGGGGUUGGUAACUGGGGUGAAGUCGUAACAAGGUACC
RNAcentral lists this ribosomal RNA (183 nucleotides) under uncultured bacterium. Its description in RNAcentral is "partial 16S ribosomal RNA". It matches the Rfam family "Bacterial small subunit ribosomal RNA", at positions 1318 to 1500 of the family's 1533-position model. The record is from RNAcentral.